Molecule: long non-coding RNA, 461 nt
Organism: Rana temporaria (common frog)
Lineage: Eukaryota; Metazoa; Chordata; Amphibia; Anura; Ranidae
Exons: 3
Source: RefSeq, a predicted model, not a curated record
AUAUCUUUUGAAGCAUGAAUGUGUAAUCUAUUCCUUUUUAUGCUACGUAGCAUUACUGGAAUUAACCCUGACUGGUCAGCAUACUAUCUAACUUUGGAUUUCCCUCUGAAAUUAUCCAAUUACUGAGUCCAUCUGACCUAUGGCUAUGACUUUUUUCAAUCAACACUAAUAAGUUCCUGCCUGCCUCCGUCUCCUAUCUGUUUCUCUAGGUCAGCCUUUUCCAUGUGGUCUGCUCUCUGUGUGACAGCUAAGCAUAUGCUGUGCUGAGACUCUUCCCUCCCCCAGUGGGUCUACACCUGGGAUUUGAUCUCGCCACGGCUCACGCCCCCAACCAUCUACUCCGUUUGUGCAAGACUAUCACCCUCCACGGGUUCCUGACGAAGCCCUCUCGGGCGAAACUAGUUGAACCCCCAAUUAACGUGGGCUGUGAUGAAGAUCACCUGCAGCAUCUUGCAUGUGUA